AAUGAAUAUUUCUACUAUUAUUAUUAUUUAGUCAUAGUUAUCUUGAUAUUUUAAUUAAAGCACUUAAAAGAUAAUGCAUAAAUCAAAUGAAAUAAAUCAAAAUGUAUAAGAAAGAGGUGAAGCCCCCAAAAUAACCAUCCCAAAAAAAACAAAAGUGAGCCUUAAACAAUAGAAGAAUUCGUAAUGGGCCCUAAGCCCGGACCCCAUGCAUUCAAUCAAUUAGCAGAACGACAGGCAGCUGUACAGCUGCCCUGCGCAUGCAUUCAUAAAUGGCCUUCCCAACAGCAUGACACGUGGGAACAAUGACUGAAGCCAUUAAAGAGGCGCGCGGGUUCUCCCUCGAUGCGAGAGAUUUGACAGCAUCACACUAAUGCAUUAAAUUGCUUUAAUUCAUAAUGAAAUAGAUGAAAAGCAAAGAGAUAGAACGGUAAAGCUUCUAGCAGAAGCAAUUUGUAAACAUCACUUUUCCUCUCUUGCCUCAAACACCUCCCUCUCUCUCUCUCUACUCUCUCUCUCUCUACACAUCUCAAACGAACAAAACCUUUUUUCAUCAACCUGUAAUCCCUUCACCUUUUAUGACUAAAACCCCAUUUAUGCCAAAAAAACGGGACACUCAAAUUUCUAUAGCCAAAGAUGAACACCUCAUGGUGUUCUUCAUCAAACCCUUAGCAUAGCCAUACCCAAAAUGACUUCUGAUUUCAACAAGGAAAUCCACGAAAAGAACCACAACCAAACAAACAUCACAUCCAAACCUAAAUCAGAACUUAGAUCUAUCAUCAAAUUUUUAUGAAUCACAACAAAACUUCUUCCGAAUCUACAACGAUUUAGGUUUGAUUCAGACGUAUCAUCAACAAAAACAUCAGAUCAAACAUACAAAUGGUUGCUACAUGAUGUGAGAACUGCCUCAGAGAGGUCGAAAUAAAGAGUAAAGGAUGUCGUCAUAGCUUUGCGACUCCGGCGAGACUCCGACGAACAUUUACCUCGGGUGUGUACGAGCUUUCCUCUCGUUAGCUUAGUCUUAGGUCUUCCUUCUUCUUAUCCUUUCUUCUUUAUUGAUCAGGUGUUGUUUCUAUUGUGUAGUGGCUUACCUCAGUUUACUCGAAGUUCUGACGAUGAAAUUUGAGUACACUUUGGGUGCUUCGAGCUUUGGUGAUCAGGUUUGGGUGAAAUCUCAGCAGAGUAACGGCGCUAGUCCAGGUGAUUUUUGACCUUCGCCUAAACCCCAUUUUAUAGAGUUUUGCACGAGAUUCUUUCUGUCUUAUCUUUCAUGAGUUGGCCAAUGAAUCCAUGAAUCAGGUCGUUACGAACAAAUCCUUCGUAGAUUUCGUGUGGUCCUUCACAUGAGAGUGGCAAGAAAUGAAUUUGUUUGUGGUCCCCAAUCUCCAAACGCGUGGUCUCGUGCUGAAUUGUUACCGUUUGUAAAGUACGCAUUUGUUGUGGUAAAAAAUUAACUUUUACUGCUGCGAAAAAAAAAUCCAAAAAAUGACGUAUGACUUUGAUUAUUUUGAAAAAACACUUCUUGGUGCUUAGUGUUUACAACAGAAACAUUGUUGCAUUAUGUUGGUGUGUGUGAAAUAUGUAAGUAUGGUGGAAUUUUAGGAUUGUAGACUAUAGUGUAAUCAAUCUUGUUUGUUGCUCAAUUUGGAUUUGAAACUUCCUUCAUACGCACAAUUCAGGCCGUGGUUGGUCUUUAAAGGUGGUUAUGGAAGUGUAUAAUGGUAAUGUUUUGGAAGUUCAUGUAAUUGGUUCACAUUACAUGGUCCGUUUGGUUCUGGUGCAGGUUUUGGUUAAUGCUCAUUCUGUCAUUGGUUUAAGUGACAUAACCAUGUUUUAGGUUCAUGUUAUGCCUUUCUAGAUUUCCCCUGUGUAGUGCACUUUAGCCUUAUGGUUGCUAUGUAUUGAUUAUGACUCAAAAUGUAUUGUAACUAGGAUUUCAUCUACAUGUAUCAUGACAUUGCCAUUCCCACUUCGUUCUUGCUCUGCUCACGUUUUUAUUUUCUUGCAGGUUAUACACAUAAUGUUUAGACAGUCGUGGCAUUUAAGAUCGGAUUUCGAAGCAUGCACCUGCCAAUGGCCUAACAUAAUGGGACUUUUAAAGAUAUGCUUAGGAUGGGGACCUGAAGAAAGGAGCGCAAGGAAUUGCCAUGUUUAGAUGACAAGUUGUUUCAAGCUUAAACAUUUGCCUUUGACAUGUAAUUACGCCUUUGGAUCUUAGGCUAGGAUUUGUGAGGUUCUGUCAAUGAAAAUUUUAAUUUAUCCCUUUUUAUCAACGGAAUUCAGCACUAUCGUGCACAUGAAAGAAAAUGUCUUUGUAAAUCCAAAUUAAUGAUUCCUAGUGGCUUUAUUACGAAGUCCAUGGGAAAUGGUUUCACUUUCCUUCCUUCAGGGAUUAACAUUUAAACAUAAGUUCUUAUGAAAACUCUCAAAUUAGGACCAAAACACACAUGUCCUAGGUCCUCCACUGUUAGUUCUUUUGAUAUUGGCCAAUGUGAGCAUGAAAGAUAUAUGUUCAAUACAAAUGUUUACCAUGAGAUGUAAUGCACCAAUCUUAGAAACCAAACAAAAAGAUUUAAGUAACAAACACGCAAUCUUCACUCGC
RNAcentral lists this long non-coding RNA (2599 nucleotides) under Lathyrus oleraceus (garden pea). RNAcentral's name for it is "Pisum sativum (pea) long non-coding RNA (PSAT_LNC039652)". The record is from RNAcentral. Lineage: Eukaryota; Viridiplantae; Streptophyta; Magnoliopsida; Fabales; Fabaceae.